Molecule: ribosomal RNA, 305 nt
Filed under: uncultured bacterium
Lineage: Bacteria
Description: bacterial SSU rRNA
Rfam family: Bacterial small subunit ribosomal RNA
Source: RNAcentral
UGUGCCUACGGGACGCAGCAGUGGGGAAUAUUGGACAAUGGGGGGAGCCCUGAUCCAGCGACGCCGCGUGAGUGAAGAAGUAUUUCGGUAUGUAAAGCUCUAUCAGCAGGGAAGAAAGAAAUGACGGUACCUGACUAAGAAGCCCCGGCUAACUACGUGCCAGCAGCCGCGGUAAUACGUAGGGGGCAAGCGUUAUCCGGAUUUACUGGGUGUAAGGGAGCGUAGACGGCGAUGCAAGUCUGAAGUGAAAGGCGGGGGCCCAACCCCCGGACUGCUUUUGGAACUGUAUAGCUGGAGUGCAGUAG